UACGUAGGGGGCGAGCGUUGUCCGGAUUUAUUGGGCGUAAAGCGCGGGCAGGCGGCCCGGUAAGUCGGCCGUGAAAACGCCGGGCUCAACUCGGCGAGGUCGGGCGAUACUGGCGGGCUCGAGGCUGGUAGAGGGCGGUGGAAUUCCGGGUGUAGUGGUGGAAUGCGUAGAGCUCCGGAGGAACACCAGUGGCGAAGGCGGCCGCCUGGGCCAGUCCUGACGCUGAGCCGCGAAAGCGUGGGGAGCGAAUCCGGAUUGAGAAACCCGUGGUAGGUCCAGACCCAAGAUACCCUCUGCCAACCGAUAAUCACCGACGUGCCCCUGAG
RNAcentral lists this ribosomal RNA (326 nucleotides) under uncultured bacterium. Its description in RNAcentral is "partial 16S ribosomal RNA". It matches the Rfam family "Bacterial small subunit ribosomal RNA", at positions 524 to 877 of the family's 1533-position model. The record is from RNAcentral.